AAUUGAUGCUGUUAAAUCGACUGUUAUAAGAUUAUAAAGAAAAUACCUUCAAAACAAUUUCAUUUUUUCUCAUACGUACUCUUACUAAGAAUUUCAUUUUUCCUCAUACGUUCUUUUACCCUCUCUCUGACUAAACGAACUUCUCCGUUUUGCUGUUAGUGUUUCAUUUCAUGGCAUAUUGGCUUUUGUAUGAGGAAUCUCAAGCUUUUUUACCGUAAAUUUAUAAGGUAACUCUAAACUUCUCUUUGUUUACCAUAAGGUGUUUGUUGAAAUGUCACAAAGAAGUAUUUUCCAUUAUUUGUUGAUUUUUUCAUGUUAUACGUCAGAGUACAUUACCUCUGAGUACUCUAUGGUAAUUUCUUGGAAUUUUAGAAUAUAAGUAUCUCACACUGGAAAAUUUUCACAUCGAAAGUCAACUUGGAACCAAAAUGUUUGGAUUCCAGUGAAGCCCUUUCCAAACGGAAGGAUCUUACGAAUGUGGAGUCGGCGGCCUUCUAUGUUCGUGUUCCACAACAAGAGUGUAUCGACUAGAAUUCAGUCAGAUGCCUAAAUUAUUCAUACCCACAUAGAAAAAACCUUUGGCAAGUAUGGUUUGUGCUAAAUGGACGCGUCUAAAAAUUGUUAGUAAUUUCAACAAUGAUUUAUACUCUUUUCUACAACGUCUCAUUUGUGAUUAUACUAUAAAAGAACAUGGCAGAAGGAGGGUAGAAGCGCAAGCAGACAUGAAAGUGGAGGAGAACAAAUCCGUUGGAUGUUUGAGAACAAGACUGGUACUUGCCGAUUGCAAAAAUAUUAGUCUGAUGAUAACGAAAGCGCUUCGUAGGGCAACUGAUAAAUGGAAGAAAUUGAAAAGGAAGCCCUUAAAGGUGUACAGGGAGCUGUAGAAGAUGAAAAUUGUUUUGUUUUGUUUUGUUUUGUUGUUUUGAUUAGUUCCGAUUUCAUAGAUGACAACUGCAUGUUUUCAUUGAAUUGGAGAAAAUUCUCAUGAUGUUUCAGAUGGAGGUAGACGCAAAGGAUUUGAAAAGGGGUGGAGAUGGGUCUGCAAAGAAUGAUGGUGUGGGAUUUCAACACAGACAUAAUUUCCAGGUUACAUGAUUUACCUCGAUACUUAUUAGGCAUGAUAUACGAAACAAAAGAUAUGUUCACCAGCACUCCGAAUUCAACUCUCCAACAUGUUUACGGAGAAGCGAACCAGGUGGCUGACUCUCUUGCCUGCUUUUGACAUUCAACAAUCCAGCACACCUUCAAAGAAUGUUACAUCUAGCCCAUGUUUCUGUUUUCUGCCACAUUUUUUUCUGGAGAAGUUCCGGCUAAUUUGUAAUUUCUUCUUCAUUGGCGUCUCUCCGACUAGCUAUAGAAAUAGGAUUUCAAAUUUUUUUUUUUUUUUUUAAAUCUGUACUGUCUAACUGUUAAUUAGGUA
This is a long non-coding RNA of Papaver somniferum (opium poppy), 1420 nucleotides long. RefSeq lists it as uncharacterized. The transcript has 4 exons. NCBI's taxonomy places the organism in Eukaryota, Viridiplantae, Streptophyta, Magnoliopsida, Ranunculales, Papaveraceae. The record is from RefSeq and is a predicted model, not a curated record.